AUGCUCAAUUCAGCAGCACACACACUAAAAUUGGAAUAAUACAGAGAAGAUUAGCAUGGUCCCCAUGUGAGGGUGACAUUCAAAUUCAUGAAGCAUUCCAUAUUUUU
Molecule: small nuclear RNA, 107 nt
Organism: Nycticebus coucang (slow loris)
Lineage: Eukaryota; Metazoa; Chordata; Mammalia; Primates; Lorisidae
Source: RefSeq, a predicted model, not a curated record